RNAcentral lists this ribosomal RNA (2898 nucleotides) under Neisseria gonorrhoeae. RNAcentral describes it as "bacterial LSU rRNA". It matches the Rfam family "Bacterial large subunit ribosomal RNA". RNAcentral also lists the same sequence under 8 other names. The record is from RNAcentral. Lineage: Bacteria; Pseudomonadati; Pseudomonadota; Betaproteobacteria; Neisseriales; Neisseriaceae.
AUAGGGUCAAGUGAAUAAGUGCAUCAGGCGGAUGCCUUGGCGAUGAUAGGCGACGAAGGACGUGUAAGCCUGCGAAAAGCGCGGGGGAGCUGGCAAUAAAGCUAUGAUUCCGCGAUGUCCGAAUGGGGAAACCCACUGCAUUCUGUGCAGUAUCCUAAGUUGAAUACAUAGGCUUAGAGAAGCGAACCCGGAGAACUGAACCAUCUAAGUACCCGGAGGAAAAGAAAUCAACCGAGAUUCCGCAAGUAGUGGCGAGCGAACGCGGAGGAGCCUGUACGUAAUAACUGUCGAGAUAGAAGAACAAGCUGGGAAGCUUGACCAUAGCGGGUGACAGUCCCGUAUUCGAAAUCUCAACAGCGGUACUAAGCGUACGAAAAGUAGGGCGGGACACGUGAAAUCCUGUCUGAAUAUGGGGGGACCAUCCUCCAAGGCUAAAUACUCAUCAUCGACCGAUAGUGAACCAGUACCGUGAGGGAAAGGCGAAAAGAACCCCGGGAGGGGAGUGAAACAGAACCUGAAACCUGAUGCAUACAAACAGUGGGAGCGCCCUAGUGGUGUGACUGCGUACCUUUUGUAUAAUGGGUCAACGACUUACAUUCAGUAGCGAGCUUAACCGGAUAGGGGAGGCGUAGGGAAACCGAGUCUUAAUAGGGCGAUGAGUUGCUGGGUGUAGACCCGAAACCGAGUGAUCUAUCCAUGGCCAGGUUGAAGGUGCCGUAACAGGUACUGGAGGACCGAACCCACGCAUGUUGCAAAAUGCGGGGAUGAGCUGUGGGUAGGGGUGAAAGGCUAAACAAACUCGGAGAUAGCUGGUUCUCCCCGAAAACUAUUUAGGUAGUGCCUCGAGCAAGACACUGAUGGGGGUAAAGCACUGUUAUGGCUAGGGGGUUAUUGCAACUUACCAACCCAUGGCAAACUCAGAAUACCAUCAAGUGGUUCCUCGGGAGACAGACAGCGGGUGCUAACGUCCGUUGUCAAGAGGGAAACAACCCAGACCGCCGGCUAAGGUCCCAAAUGAUAGAUUAAGUGGUAAACGAAGUGGGAAGGCACAGACAGCCAGGAUGUUGGCUUAGAAGCAGCCAUCAUUUAAAGAAAGCGUAAUAGCUCACUGGUCGAGUCGUCCUGCGCGGAAGAUGUAACGGGGCUCAAAUCUAUAACCGAAGCUGCGGAUGCCGGUUUACCGGCAUGGUAGGGGAGCGUUCUGUAGGCUGAUGAAGGUGCAUUGUAAAGUGUGCUGGAGGUAUCAGAAGUGCGAAUGUUGACAUGAGUAGCGAUAAAGCGGGUGAAAAGCCCGCUCGCCGAAAGCCCAAGGUUUCCUACGCAACGUUCAUCGGCGUAGGGUAAGUCGGCCCCUAAGGCGAGGCAGAAAUGCGUAGUCGAUGGGAAACAGGUUAAUAUUCCUGUACUUGAUUCAAAUGCGAUGUGGGGACGGAGAAGGUUAGGUUGGCAAGCUGUUGGAAUAGCUUGUUUAAGCCGGUAGGUGGAAGACUUAGGCAAAUCCGGGUUUUCUUAACACCGAGAAGUGAUGACGAGUGUCUACGGACACGAAGCAACCGAUACCACGCUUCCAGGAAAAGCCACUAAGCUUCAGUUUGAAUCGAACCGUACCGCAAACCGACACAGGUGGGCAGGAUGAGAAUUCUAAGGCGCUUGAGAGAACUCGGGAGAAGGAACUCGGCAAAUUGAUACCGUAACUUCGGGAGAAGGUAUGCCCUCUAAGGUUAAGGACUUGCUCCGUAAGCCCCGGAGGGUCGCAGAGAAUAGGUGGCUGCGACUGUUUAUUAAAAACACAGCACUCUGCCAACACGAAAGUGGACGUAUAGGGUGUGACGCCUGCCCGGUGCCGGAAGGUUAAUUGAAGAUGUGCAAGCAUCGGAUCGAAGCCCCGGUAAACGGCGGCCGUAACUAUAACGGUCCUAAGGUAGCGAAAUUCCUUGUCGGGUAAGUUCCGACCCGCACGAAUGGCGUAACGAUGGCCACACUGUCUCCUCCCGAGACUCAGCGAAGUUGAAGUGGUUGUGAAGAUGCAAUCUACCCGCUGCUAGACGGAAAGACCCCGUGAACCUUUACUGUAGCUUUGCAUUGGACUUUGAAGUCACUUGUGUAGGAUAGGUGGGAGGCUUGGAAGCAGAGACGCCAGUCUCUGUGGAGUCGUCCUUGAAAUACCACCCUGGUGUCUUUGAGGUUCUAACCCAGACCCGUCAUCCGGGUCGGGGACCGUGCAUGGUAGGCAGUUUGACUGGGGCGGUCUCCUCCCAAAGCGUAACGGAGGAGUUCGAAGGUUACCUAGGUCCGGUCGGAAAUCGGACUGAUAGUGCAAUGGCAAAAGGUAGCUUAACUGCGAGACCGACAAGUCGGGCAGGUGCGAAAGCAGGACAUAGUGAUCCGGUGGUUCUGUAUGGAAGGGCCAUCGCUCAACGGAUAAAAGGUACUCCGGGGAUAACAGGCUGAUUCCGCCCAAGAGUUCAUAUCGACGGCGGAGUUUGGCACCUCGAUGUCGGCUCAUCACAUCCUGGGGCUGUAGUCGGUCCCAAGGGUAUGGCUGUUCGCCAUUUAAAGUGGUACGUGAGCUGGGUUUAAAACGUCGUGAGACAGUUUGGUCCCUAUCUGCAGUGGGCGUUGGAAGUUUGACGGGGGCUGCUCCUAGUACGAGAGGACCGGAGUGGACGAACCUCUGGUGUACCGGUUGUAACGCCAGUUGCAUAGCCGGGUAGCUAAGUUCGGAAGAGAUAAGCGCUGAAAGCAUCUAAGCGCGAAACUCGCCUGAAGAUGAGACUUCCCUUGCGGUUUAACCGCACUAAAGGGUCGUUCGAGACCAGGACGUUGAUAGGUGGGGUGUGGAAGCGCGGUAACGCGUGAAGCUAACCCAUACUAAUUGCCCGUGAGGCUUGACUCUAU